GACGAACGCUGGCGGCGUGCUUAACACAUGCAAGUCGAACGGAAAGGCCCUGCUUGCCGGGUACUCGAGUGGCGAACGGGUGAGUAACACGCGGGUGAUCUGCCCUGCACUUCGGGAUAAGCCUGGGAAACUGGGGCUAAUACCGGAUAGGAGCCAUUUUGAGUGUGAUGGUUGGAAAGAAUUUUUGGUGUAGGGUGAGCUCGCGGCCUAUCAGCUUGGUGGUGGGGUAAUGGCCUACCAAGGCGGCGGCGGGUUGCCGGCCUGGGAGGGUGGACGGCCACAAUGGGACUGGGGAUCGGGCCAGACUCCUAAGGGGGGCAGCAGUGGGGAAGAUUGCACAAUGGGCGCAAGCCUGAUGGAGGGACGCCGCGUGGGGGGUGACGGGCUUCGGGUUGGAAACUCCUUUCGCUAGGGACGAAGCUUUUUGUGACGGUACCUAGAAAAGAAGCACCGGCUAACUACGUG
Molecule: ribosomal RNA, 465 nt
Filed under: uncultured bacterium
Lineage: Bacteria
Description: partial 16S ribosomal RNA
Rfam family: Bacterial small subunit ribosomal RNA
Source: RNAcentral